AGAGUUUGAUUCUGGCUCAGAUUGAACGCCGGCGGCAUGCCUUACACAUGCAAGUCGAACGGUAACAGGGAGCUUGCUCCGCUGACGAGUGGCGAACGGGUGAGUAAUACAUCGGAACGUGUCCUGUAGUGGGGGAUAGCCCGGCGAAAGCCGGAUUAAUACCGCAUACGAUCUACGGAUGAAAGGGGGGGAUUCUUCGGAACCUCUCGCUAUAGGGGCGGCCGAUGGCAGAUUAGCUAGUUGGUGGGGUAAAGGCCUACCAAGGCGACGAUCUGUAGCUGGUCUGAGAGGACGACCAGCCACACUGGGACUGAGACACGGCCCAGACUCCUACGGGAGGCAGCAGUGGGGAAUUUUGGACAAUGGGCGAAAGCCUGAUCCAGCAAUGCCGCGUGUGUGAAGAAGGCCUUCGGGUUGUAAAGCACUUUUGUUCGGGAAGAAAAGGACUGGGAUAAUACCCUGGUCUGAUGACGGUACCGGAAGAAUAAGCACCGGCUAACUACGUGCCAGCAGCCGCGGUAAUACGUAGGGUGCAAGCGUUAAUCGGAAUUACUGGGCGUAAAGCGUGCGCAGGCGGUUCGUUAAGACAGAUGUGAAAUCCCCGGGCUUAACCUGGGAACUGCAUUUGUGACUGGCGAGCUAGAGUCUGGCAGAGGGGGGUGGAAUUCCGCGUGUAGCAGUGAAAUGCGUAGAUAUGCGGAGGAACACCGAU
This 712-nucleotide ribosomal RNA is filed under the name uncultured bacterium. Its description in RNAcentral is "bacterial SSU rRNA". It matches the Rfam family "Bacterial small subunit ribosomal RNA", at positions 8 to 713 of the family's 1533-position model. The record is from RNAcentral.